UCUCAAAGAUUAAGCCAUGCAUGUCUCAGUACAAGCCUCAUUAAGGUGAAACCGCGAAAGGCUCAUUAAAUCAGUUAUGGUUCCUUAGAUCGUACCCACAUUUACUUGGAUAACUGUGGUAAUUCUAGAGCUAAUACAUGCAAACAGAGUUCCGACCGGAGACGGGAGGAAUGCUUUUAUUAGAUCAAAACCAAUCGGCGGCGGGCGCGUCCGCGCGCCCGUUCGCCGCUCAACCUGGUGACUCUGAAUAACUUUCGGCUGAUCGCACGGUCCAGCACCGGCGACGCAUCUUUCAAAUGUCUGCCUUAUCAACUGUCGAUGGUAGGUUCUGCGCCUACCAUGGUCGUAACGGGUAACGGGGAAUCAGGGUUCGAUUCCGGAGAGGGAGCCUGAGAAACGGCUACCACAUCCAAGGAAGGCAGCAGGCGCGCAAAUUACCCACUCCCGGCACGGGGAGGUAGUGACGAAAAAUAACGAUACGGGACUCAUCCGAGGCCCCGUAAUCGGAAUGAGUACACUUUAAAUCCUUUAACGAGGAUCCAUUGGAGGGCAAGUCUGGUGCCA
This 564-nucleotide ribosomal RNA is filed under the name Copelatus sp. MB6473. RNAcentral describes it as "SSU rRNA". It matches the Rfam family "Eukaryotic small subunit ribosomal RNA", at positions 35 to 569 of the family's 1831-position model. Lineage: Eukaryota; Metazoa; Arthropoda; Insecta; Coleoptera; Dytiscidae. The record is from RNAcentral.